CCCCUCCCCAGCCCAGAAAUGGGUGGAACGUCCGCUCUUCCUCCAGGGAGUAGGGGAAAGGGUGGCCGGCGGCAGUAUUGAGAGUGCAGUGAAAAAGAUGUACUCAUUGAGUGGACUGAAUACAACGGUUGUUUUUAUAGGUGGCAGUACAAGAAGCUACAAUUUUCCCUUCCCACCCAGGGAUGGCAUCAUCAUCGUGAAAAACCUAGAGAAGAAAAAAAAAGAGCCACAGUGAAAAAAUAAGUAAGACAGGGAUGUCUAGAUGGCUGCUGCUGAUAAAAGCAAGACCUCAACACAGAAGAUAAAGAACAUACAGAGGAAAGCCUUAAGUUAGAGUCUACGUCCCUUUUGUUUCGUCCCUAAAGUUAUACCUAAAUAUAAAAAUGUAUACAAAUGCAUACAUAUAUAUAAAUAUAAAAUAUUUUUAACAUAUGUAAUAUGUUAUUGUAUUUUGUAUAACAGAUUAUGUGCAUUAUAUAUAAUACAACAUAUACU
Long non-coding RNA from Mustela lutreola (European mink), 495 nucleotides. RefSeq lists it as uncharacterized. Lineage: Eukaryota; Metazoa; Chordata; Mammalia; Carnivora; Mustelidae. The record is from RefSeq and is a predicted model, not a curated record. The transcript is spliced from 3 exons.